ACAAUGAGGAGAACAGCAUGGUGACCAACGAGCCUGAUGUGGAGUAUACUGAGGUGGUGCAUCCCCGGCCAGUAGAUCCUGCCAGAGUCCCACUGAGAAAAGGCACAGACACAGUGUACAGCGAGCUCCAAAACUCUCCACAUGGUGCUGCUGACCAUCAUGACUAUGUGAGUAAUCAGCUACACAAUCCCACUCCUCAUGUUUAUUUUGCUCCUUUUUACUUUAUUAUUAUUAUCAUUACACUUAAGUACUAUUUUUGCUUACC
Molecule: non-coding RNA, 265 nt
Organism: Plectropomus leopardus (leopard coralgrouper)
Lineage: Eukaryota; Metazoa; Chordata; Actinopteri; Perciformes; Serranidae
Source: RefSeq, a predicted model, not a curated record